CAAUAGCGUAUACUAACGUUGUUGCAGUUAAAAGGCUCGUAGUCGAACUUGUGAUCUUGUUGAACCUGGUCCAAUCUCGAGUAGAUUGCGUACCGGUGUGCACGGAUCAUUCCAUCUGAAGAUUGUGUUGUCGGUUCUUGAUUGAGCUCGAUCUCAAGAUUCAGAUCCUUUACUGUGAGUAAAUCAGAGUGCUCAAAGCAGGCUUCAAUGCUUGUAUGGUUCAGCAUGGAAUAAUACUACAAGACUUUGGUUUUGUUUUGUUGGCUGUACGAACCAAAGUAAUGAUUGAAAGGGAUAGUUGGGGGUGCUAGUAUUCAAUGGUCAGCGGUGAAAUGCAAAGACCCAUUGAAGACUAACUUAUGCGAAAGCAUUCACCAAGGAUAUCUUCUUUGA
RNAcentral lists this ribosomal RNA (393 nucleotides) under uncultured eukaryote. RNAcentral's name for it is "partial 18S ribosomal RNA". It matches the Rfam family "Eukaryotic small subunit ribosomal RNA", at positions 592 to 976 of the family's 1831-position model. The record is from RNAcentral.